RNAcentral lists this long non-coding RNA (1515 nucleotides) under Apteryx haastii (Great spotted kiwi). RNAcentral describes it as "lncRNA (ENSAHAG00000001395.1)". The record is from RNAcentral. Lineage: Eukaryota; Metazoa; Chordata; Aves; Apterygiformes; Apterygidae.
AUGGUGUUUUGCAUCCUCCCACUUCCUCCUCCAGAAGUCCUACUUCAAAACAAAGAAAGGAUCCUCACUGUGCUGUCAUGGAUGCUGUCAUGUCCUCACUUUGCUGUCAUGGAUGGCUACGUGCUUUUUAGGAAAGACAGGCCAGGAAAGCGAGGUGGUGGAGUUGCUCUUUAUGUGAGAGAGCAACUGGAAUGCAUCGAGCUGUGCCUAGGGGUGGAUGAAGAGCGAGUCGAGAGCUUAUGGGUAAGGAUUAAAGGGCAGGCUAGCAUGGGUGACACUGUUGUGGGUGUUUACUACAGGCCACCUGAUCAGGAAGAGGAAGUCGAUGAGGCCUUCUACAGACAGCUGGAAGUAGCCUCACGAUCCCAGGCCCUGGUUCUCAUGGAGGACUUCAACCACCCCGAUAUCUGCUGGAAAGACAACACAGCUAGGCACAAACAGUCCUGGAGGUUCCUGCAGAGCAUUGGUGACAACUUCUUGACACAGGUGGUGGAGGAGCCAACAAGGAGAGGUGUGCUGCUGGACCUGGUACUAACAAACAAAGAAGGACUGGUGGAAGAUGUGAAGGUCAGGGGCAGCCUUGGCUGCAGUGACCAUGAGAUGGUGGAGUUCAGGAUCCUGCGAGGAAGCAGCAGGGCACUAAGUAGGAUCGCAACCCUGGACUUCAGGAGAGCAAACUUUGGCCUCUUCAGGGACAUACUUGGAGGAAUCCCAUGGGUUAGGGCCCUAGAAGGAAGGGGGGUCCAAGAGAGCUGGUUAAUAUUCAAACAUCACCUCCUCCAGGCUCAAGAGCGGUGCAUCCCUAUGAGUAGGAAGUCAAGCAAAGGAGGUGGGAGACCUGCAUGGAUGAGCAAGGAGCUCCUGGCAAAACUCAACCAGAAGAAGGAAGUAUACAGAAAGUGGAAAGGGGGACAGGCCACUUGGGAGGAAUACAGGAACGUUGUCAGAGUAUGCAGGGAUGUGACGAGGAAGGCUAAGGCCCGUUUGGAAUUAAAUCUGGCGAGAGAUGUCAAGGACAACAAGAAGGGCUUCUUCAAAUACAUCAGUAGCAAGGGGAAGACUAGGGAAAAUGUGGGCCCUUUGCUGAAUGGGGUGGGUGCCCUGGUGACAAAGGAUGCAGAGAAGGCAGAGUUACUGAAUGCCUUCUUUGCUUCAGUCUUUACUGCUCAGGCCAGCCCUCAGGAACCCCAGACCCUGGAGGCAAGAGAGAAAGUCUGGAGAAAGGAAGACUUUCCCUUGGUGGAGGAGGAGUGGGUUAGAGAUCAUUUAAGCAAACCUGACACCCACAAAUCCAUGGGCCCCGAUGGGAUGCACCCACAAGUGCUGAGGGAGCUGGCGGAUGUUAUUGCUAAGCCACUCUCCAUUAUCUUUGAAAGGUCAUGGAGAACAGGAGAGGUGCCUGAAGACUGGAAGAAAGCCAAUGUCACCGCAGUCUUCCAAAAGGGCAAGAAGGAGGACCCAGAGAACUACAGGCCAGUCAGCCUCACCUGCAUCCCUGGAAAGGUGAUGGAGUAG